RNAcentral lists this small RNA (350 nucleotides) under Tepidibacter hydrothermalis. RNAcentral's name for it is "Tepidibacter sp. SWIR-1 transfer-messenger RNA". It matches the Rfam family "transfer-messenger RNA". Rfam says of the family: Bacterial tmRNA, also known as 10Sa RNA or SsrA, is named for its dual tRNA and mRNA-like properties. Its role is to liberate the mRNA from a stalled ribosome. The record is from RNAcentral. Lineage: Bacteria; Bacillati; Bacillota; Clostridia; Peptostreptococcales; Peptostreptococcaceae.
GGGGGCGUAAAGGUUUCGACGGGGGUUUGGAACUUGAGGUAGCGAGUCAUGUUUCUCUAGAGCAUGUAAAAACUAGGGACUAAAUAUAAACGCAAACGAUAAUUACGCUUUAGCAGCCUAAUAGCGCUGCUCGUUCUACCUAGCUUGCCCACGAGUUAGAAUAGAACGUCAUUUAAGUGGGGACCUAUCUUUAGGGUGCCUUGACUAAAGACAGAUUAACUGAGGCUGGUCGAUCUUAGAGCCCGCUACUAGGCACUAGGAGAGACGAGAACUUAAUAUAGUAGAUACACUCGUAGAAGCUUUAGGGAAAGGGCUUUCGGACAGGGGUUCGACUCCCCUCGCCUCCACCA